AGCGAACGCUGGCGGCAGGCUUAACACAUGCAAGUCGAACGCCCCGCAAGGGGAGUGGCAGACGGGUGAGUAACACGUGGGAACGUACCCUUUGGUUCGGAAUAACUUGGGGAAACUCAAGCUAAUACCGGAUAAGCCCUUAUGGGGAAAGGUUUACUGCCGAAGGAUCGGCCCGCGUCUGAUUAGCUAGUUGGUGAGGUAAUGGCUCACCAAGGCGACGAUCAGUAGCUGGUCUGAGAGGAUGAUCAGCCACACUGGGACUGAGACACGGCCCAGACUCCUACGGGAGGCAGCAGUGGGGAAUAUUGGACAAGGGGGGCAACCCUGAUCCAGCCAUGCCGCGUGAGUGAUGAAGGCCUUGGGGUUGUAAAGCUCUUUUACCCGGGACGAUAAUGACUGUACCGGGAGAAUAAGCCCCGGCUAACUUCGUGCCAGCCGCCGCCGUAA
This 447-nucleotide ribosomal RNA is filed under the name uncultured bacterium. Its description in RNAcentral is "partial 16S ribosomal RNA". It matches the Rfam family "Bacterial small subunit ribosomal RNA", at positions 29 to 523 of the family's 1533-position model. The record is from RNAcentral.